AUUUUCAUAAGCUAGUUUGAUUUGGUACCCAACUAUCUAACAUCUGAGUGAGUGAUUGAGUGAUUGAGUGAUUGAGUGAGUGAGUGAGUGAGUGAGUGAGUGAGUGAUUGAGUGAGUGUGUGAGU
This is a long non-coding RNA of Haliotis rubra (blacklip abalone), 125 nucleotides long. RefSeq lists it as uncharacterized. Lineage: Eukaryota; Metazoa; Mollusca; Gastropoda; Lepetellida; Haliotidae. The record is from RefSeq and is a predicted model, not a curated record. The transcript has 3 exons.